RNAcentral lists this ribosomal RNA (253 nucleotides) under uncultured bacterium. Its description in RNAcentral is "partial 16S ribosomal RNA". It matches the Rfam family "Bacterial small subunit ribosomal RNA", at positions 524 to 776 of the family's 1533-position model. The record is from RNAcentral.
UACGAAGGGGGCUAGCGUUGCUCGGAAUUACUGGGCGUAAAGCGCACGUAGGCGGCUUUCUAAGUCGGGGGUGAAAUCCUGGAGCUCAACUCCAGAACUGCCUUCGAUACUGGAAAGCUCGAGUCCGGGAGAGGUGAGUGGAACUGCGAGUGUAGAGGUGAAAUUCGUAGAUAUUCGCAAGAACACCAGUGGCGAAGGCGACUCGCUGGACUGAUACUGACGCUGAGGUGCGAAAGCGUGGGGAGCAAACAGG